RNAcentral lists this ribosomal RNA (725 nucleotides) under uncultured bacterium. RNAcentral describes it as "bacterial SSU rRNA". It matches the Rfam family "Bacterial small subunit ribosomal RNA", at positions 57 to 785 of the family's 1533-position model. The record is from RNAcentral.
GCAGUCGAGGGGUAUAGUUCUUCGGAACUAGAGACCGGCGCACGGGUGCGUAACGCGUAUGCAAUCUACCUUUUACAGAGGGAUAGCCCAGAGAAAUUUGGAUUAAUACCUCAUAGUAUGUGAGAAUCGCAUGGUUUUCACAUUAAAGUUCCAACGGUAAAAGAUGAGCAUGCGUCCCAUUAGCUAGAUGGUAAGGUAACGGCUUACCAUGGCGACGAUGGGUAGGGGUCCUGAGAGGGAGAUCCCCACACUGGUACUGAGACACGGACCAGACUCCUACGGGAGGCAGCAGUGAGGAAUAUUGGACAAUGGGCGCAAGCCUGAUCCAGCCAUGCCGCGUGCAGGAUGACGGUCCUAUGGAUUGUAAACUGCUUUUGUACAGGAAGAAACACUCCCUCGUGAGGGAGCUUGACGGUACUGUAAGAAUAAGGAUCGGCUAACUCCGUGCCAGCAGCCGCGGUAAUACGGAGGAUCUAAGCGUUAUCCGGAAUCAUUGGGUUUAAAGGGUCCGUAGGCGGUUUAAUAAGUCAGUGGUGAAAGCCCAUCGCUCAACGGUGGAACGGCCAUUGAUACUGUUAAACUUGAAUUAUUAGGAAGUAACUAGAAUAUGUAGUGUAGCGGUGAAAUGCUUAGAGAUUACAUGGAAUACCAAUUGCGAAGGCAGGUUACUACUAAUGGACUGACGCUGAUGGACGAAAGCGUGGGUAGCGAACAGGAUUAGAUAC